RNAcentral lists this transfer RNA (74 nucleotides) under Gammaproteobacteria bacterium. Its description in RNAcentral is "tRNA-Cys". It matches the Rfam family "tRNA". From Rfam's summary of the family: Transfer RNA (tRNA) molecules are approximately 80 nucleotides in length. RNAcentral also lists the same sequence under 1 other name. Lineage: Bacteria; Pseudomonadati; Pseudomonadota; Gammaproteobacteria. The record is from RNAcentral.
GGCGGGGUGGCAGAUAGGUUAUGCAGCGGAUUGCAAAUCCGUCUAGGCCGGUUCGAUUCCGACCCUCGCCUCCA